This 1311-nucleotide ribosomal RNA is filed under the name Microbacterium sp. Fse34. RNAcentral describes it as "bacterial SSU rRNA". It matches the Rfam family "Bacterial small subunit ribosomal RNA", at positions 117 to 1440 of the family's 1533-position model. Lineage: Bacteria; Bacillati; Actinomycetota; Actinomycetes; Micrococcales; Microbacteriaceae. The record is from RNAcentral.
GUGAGCAACCUGCCCUGGACUCUGGGAUAAGCGCUGGAAACGGCGUCUAAUACUGGAUAUGAGACGUGAUCGCAUGGUCGUGUUUGGAAAGAUUUUUCGGUCUGGGAUGGGCUCGCGGCCUAUCAGCUUGUUGGUGAGGUAAUGGCUCACCAAGGCGUCGACGGGUAGCCGGCCUGAGAGGGUGACCGGCCACACUGGGACUGAGACACGGCCCAGACUCCUACGGGAGGCAGCAGUGGGGAAUAUUGCACAAUGGGCGGAAGCCUGAUGCAGCAACGCCGCGUGAGGGAUGACGGCCUUCGGGUUGUAAACCUCUUUUAGCAGGGAAGAAGCGAAAGUGACGGUACCUGCAGAAAAAGCGCCGGCUAACUACGUGCCAGCAGCCGCGGUAAUACGUAGGGCGCAAGCGUUAUCCGGAAUUAUUGGGCGUAAAGAGCUCGUAGGCGGUUUGUCGCGUCUGCUGUGAAAUCCCGAGGCUCAACCUCGGGCCUGCAGUGGGUACGGGCAGACUAGAGUGCGGUAGGGGAGAUUGGAAUUCCUGGUGUAGCGGUGGAAUGCGCAGAUAUCAGGAGGAACACCGAUGGCGAAGGCAGAUCUCUGGGCCGUAACUGACGCUGAGGAGCGAAAGGGUGGGGAGCAAACAGGCUUAGAUACCCUGGUAGUCCACCCCGUAAACGUUGGGAACUAGUUGUGGGGACCAUUCCACGGUUUCCGUGACGCAGCUAACGCAUUAAGUUCCCCGCCUGGGGAGUACGGCCGCAAGGCUAAAACUCAAAGGAAUUGACGGGGACCCGCACAAGCGGCGGAGCAUGCGGAUUAAUUCGAUGCAACGCGAAGAACCUUACCAAGGCUUGACAUAUACGAGAACGGGCCAGAAAUGGUCAACUCUUUGGACACUCGUAAACAGGUGGUGCAUGGUUGUCGUCAGCUCGUGUCGUGAGAUGUUGGGUUAAGUCCCGCAACGAGCGCAACCCUCGUUCUAUGUUGCCAGCACGUAAUGGUGGGAACUCAUGGGAUACUGCCGGGGUCAACUCGGAGGAAGGUGGGGAUGACGUCAAAUCAUCAUGCCCCUUAUGUCUUGGGCUUCACGCAUGCUACAAUGGCCGGUACAAAGGGCUGCAAUACCGUGAGGUGGAGCGAAUCCCAAAAAGCCGGUCCCAGUUCGGAUUGAGGUCUGCAACUCGACCUCAUGAAGUCGGAGUCGCUAGUAAUCGCAGAUCAGCAACGCUGCGGUGAAUACGUUCCCGGGUCUUGUACACACCGCCCGUCAAGUCAUGAAAGUCGGUAACACCUGAAGCCGGUGGCCCAACC